This 73-nucleotide transfer RNA is filed under the name Stegodyphus mimosarum. It matches the Rfam family "tRNA". Rfam says of the family: Transfer RNA (tRNA) molecules are approximately 80 nucleotides in length. Their secondary structure includes four short double-helical elements and three loops (D, anti-codon, and T loops). The record is from Rfam by way of RNAcentral. Lineage: Eukaryota; Metazoa; Arthropoda; Arachnida; Araneae; Eresidae.
GCCUUCGUGAUGUAAUUAGAAGCGUAUUCGACUCGUAUUCGAGAGGUACAGGGUUCGAUUCCCGGCAAGGGCA